RNAcentral lists this ribosomal RNA (450 nucleotides) under uncultured Glomeromycotina. RNAcentral's name for it is "SSU rRNA". It matches the Rfam family "Eukaryotic small subunit ribosomal RNA", at positions 569 to 1024 of the family's 1831-position model. The record is from RNAcentral. Lineage: Eukaryota; Fungi; Glomeromycota.
AGCAGCCGCGGUAAUUCCAGCUCCAAUAGCGUAUAUUAAAGUUGUUGCAGUUAAAAAGCUCGUAGUUGAAUUUCGGGAUCAAAUUGUCGGUCGUGCUUCGGUACGCACUGGCAUUAUUGGUUCCUACCUUCUGAAGAACCGCGAUGUCAUUAAUUUGGUGUCGUGGGGAAUCAGGACUGUUACUUUGAAAAAAUUAGAGUGUUUAAAGCAGGCGCACGCUUGAAUACAUUAGCAUGGAAUAAUGAAAUAGGACGUUUGAUUCUAUUUUGUUGGUUUCUAGGAUCGACGUAAUGAUUAAUAGGGAUAGUUGGGGGCAUUAGUAUUCAAUUGUCAGAGGUGAAAUUCUUGGAUUUAUUGAAGACUAACUACUGCGAAAGCAUUUGCCAAGGAUGUUUUCAUUAAUCAAGAACGAAAGUUAGGGGAUCGAAGACGAUCAGAUACCGUCGUAGU